GCUGCGGUGGUCUAGUGGUUAGGACGGUAGACUGUGGAUCUGCCAACCCGGGUUCAAUUCCCGGUCGCGGCCCCA
This 75-nucleotide transfer RNA is filed under the name Methanobacteriota archaeon. RNAcentral's name for it is "Euryarchaeota archaeon tRNA-His". It matches the Rfam family "tRNA". Rfam says of the family: Transfer RNA (tRNA) molecules are approximately 80 nucleotides in length. The record is from RNAcentral. Lineage: Archaea; Methanobacteriati; Methanobacteriota.